GACGAACGCUGGCGGCGUGCCUAAUACAUGCAAGUCGAACGCUGACACUUGGUGCUUGCACCGAGCGGUUGAGUUGCGGACGGGUGAGUCACGCGUAGGUAACCUGCCUGGUAGAGGGGGAUAACUAUUGGAAACGAUAGCUAAUACCGCAUAAGAGUAGAUGUUGCAUUACGUUUGCUUAAAAUGUGCUAUUGCACCACUACAUGAUGGACCUACGUUGUAUUCGCUAGGUGGUGUGGUAACGGCUCAACCAGGCGAGGAUACAUAGCCGACCAGAGAGGGGAAUCGGCCAAGCUGGGACUGGAGGAUGGUCAGGACUCCUACGGGAGGGAGCCGGAGGGGAUUUUUGGGAAUGGACGGAAGUGUGAACGAGCAACACCGCGUGAGAGAAUGAGGUUGUCGGGUCGUAAAGCUCUGUUGGAAGAGAAGAACGAAUGUGAGAGUGGAAAGUGCACAUUGUGACGGUACCUUACCAGAAAGGGACGGCUAACUACGUG
RNAcentral lists this ribosomal RNA (497 nucleotides) under uncultured bacterium. RNAcentral's name for it is "partial 16S ribosomal RNA". It matches the Rfam family "Bacterial small subunit ribosomal RNA", at positions 28 to 507 of the family's 1533-position model. The record is from RNAcentral.